UACGGGGGGGGCAAGCGUUGUUCGGAAUUACUGGGCGUAAAGGGCGCGUAGGCGGCCUUCUAAGUCGGACGUGAAAUCCCUCGGCUUAACCGAGGAACUGCGUCCGAUACUGAAAGGCUUGAAUCCGGGAGAGGGAUGUGGAAUUCCAGGUGUAGCGGUGAAAUGCGUAGAUAUCGGGAGGAACACCGGUGGCGAAGGCGGGUCUCUGGGCAACUCCUGACGCUGAGGCGCGAAAGCGUGGGGAGCAAACGGG
RNAcentral lists this ribosomal RNA (253 nucleotides) under uncultured bacterium. RNAcentral describes it as "partial 16S ribosomal RNA". It matches the Rfam family "Bacterial small subunit ribosomal RNA", at positions 524 to 776 of the family's 1533-position model. The record is from RNAcentral.